Molecule: ribosomal RNA, 505 nt
Filed under: uncultured bacterium
Lineage: Bacteria
Description: partial 16S ribosomal RNA
Rfam family: Bacterial small subunit ribosomal RNA
Source: RNAcentral
GACGAACGCUGGCGGCGUGCCUAAUACAUGCCAGUAGAACGCACAGUUUAUACCGUAGCUUGCUACACCAUAAACUGUGAGUUGCGAACGGGUGAGUAACGCGUAGGUAACCUGCCUGGUAGCGGGGGAUAACUAUUGGAAACGAUAGCUAAUACCGCAUAAUAUUGAUUAUUGCAUGAUAAUUGAUUGAAAGAUGCUAUUGCAUCACUACCAGAUGGACCUGCGUUGUAUUAGCUAGUAGGUGAGGUAACGGCUCACCUAGGCGACGAUACAUAGCCGACCUGAGAGGAUGAUCGGCCACACUGGGACUGAGACACGGCCCAGACUCCUACGGGAGGCAGCAGUAGGGAAUCUUCGGCAAUGGACGAAAGUCUGACCGAGCAACGCCGCGUGAGUGAAGAAGGUUUUCGGAUCGUAAAGCUCUGUUGUAAGAGAAGAACGGGUGUGAGAGUGGAAAGUUCACACUGUGACGGUAUCUUACCAGAAAGGGACGGCUAACUACGUG